UACGUAGGGGGCUAGCGUUGUCCGGAUUUAUUGGGCGUAAAGAGCGUGUAGGCGGUCUGUCGCGUCUGCUGUGAAAACUCAGGGCUUAACCCUGAGCUUGCAGUGGGUACGGGCAGACUAGAGUGCGGUAGGGGAGACUGGAAUUCCUGGUGUAGCGGUGAAAUGCGCAGAUAUCAGGAAGAACACCAAUGGCGGAAGGCAGCUCUCUGGGACGGUACUGGACGGCUGAGACGCGAAAGCGUGGGGAGCGAACAGG
RNAcentral lists this ribosomal RNA (256 nucleotides) under uncultured bacterium. RNAcentral's name for it is "partial 16S ribosomal RNA". It matches the Rfam family "Bacterial small subunit ribosomal RNA", at positions 524 to 776 of the family's 1533-position model. The record is from RNAcentral.